GCCCUGUGGUUGCUGGAGGCUGUUGACCACUGCAACACCUGGUGGUGGAGGGGGUGGGGUAGAGCAGUGCUGUGCCUUAUGCAUGGGGUCUGUGUUUCCUCAGCAGCUGCCAUAGCCUGGACACUGUACAUGG
This is a small nucleolar RNA of Cavia porcellus (domestic guinea pig), 133 nucleotides long. Ensembl annotates it as small nucleolar RNA SNORA84. The record is from Ensembl. Lineage: Eukaryota; Metazoa; Chordata; Mammalia; Rodentia; Caviidae.